This 214-nucleotide long non-coding RNA is filed under the name Bos taurus (domestic cattle). RNAcentral's name for it is "long non-coding RNA NONBTAT011603". Lineage: Eukaryota; Metazoa; Chordata; Mammalia; Artiodactyla; Bovidae. The record is from RNAcentral.
AAGGAUGCGGAUCUUGGAUGGCUGAUUUGUUAAUCAAAUACCUAAACAGAAAUUUGGCAGGUCUAAAUUGUUCACUUUAGAAAAUAAAAUUGAUUCUAAUACUGCCCAGUUACCAAAUACACAUGAUCUCAAUAGGCACCACAGUAAGUUGAGAGAAAUAGAGGGUGACGUGGAUUUAGGGGGAAAAGUACAUUCAGAGAUAGAGGGGGAAAUG